Molecule: ribosomal RNA, 726 nt
Filed under: Bacillus cereus
Lineage: Bacteria; Bacillati; Bacillota; Bacilli; Caryophanales; Bacillaceae
Description: bacterial SSU rRNA
Rfam family: Bacterial small subunit ribosomal RNA
Source: RNAcentral
CUAAACAUGCAAGUCGAGCGAAUGGAUUAAGAGCUUGCUCUUAUGAAGUUAGCGGCGGACGGGUGAGUAACACGUGGGUAACCUGCCCAUAAGACUGGGAUAACUCCGGGAAACCGGGGCUAAUACCGGAUAACAUUUUGAACCGCAUGGUUCGAAAUUGAAAGGCGGCUUCGGCUGUCACUUAUGGAUGGACCCGCGUCGCAUUAGCUAGUUGGUGAGGUAACGGCUCACCAAGGCAACGAUGCGUAGCCGACCUGAGAGGGUGAUCGGCCACACUGGGACUGAGACACGGCCCAGACUCCUACGGGAGGCAGCAGUAGGGAAUCUUCCGCAAUGGACGAAAGUCUGACGGAGCAACGCCGCGUGAGUGAUGAAGGCUUUCGGGUCGUAAAACUCUGUUGUUAGGGAAGAACAAGUGCUAGUUGAAUAAGCUGGCACCUUGACGGUACCUAACCAGAAAGCCACGGCUAACUACGUGCCAGCAGCCGCGGUAAUACGUAGGUGGCAAGCGUUAUCCGGAAUUAUUGGGCGUAAAGCGCGCGCAGGUGGUUUCUUAAGUCUGAUGUGAAAGCCCACGGCUCAACCGUGGAGGGUCAUUGGAAACUGGGAGACUUGAGUGCAGAAGAGGAAAGUGGAAUUCCAUGUGUAGCGGUGAAAUGCGUAGAGAUAUGGAGGAACACCAGUGGCGAAGGCGACUUUCUGGUCUGUAACUGACACUGAGGCGCG